GAUGAACGCUGGCGGCGUGCCUAAUACAUGCAAGUAGAACGCUGAAGCUUGGUGCUUGCACCGAGCGGAUGAGUUGCGAACGGGUGAGUAACGCGUAGGUAACCUGCCUCUUAGCGGGGGAUAACUAUUGGAAACGAUAGCUAAUACCGCAUAAAAGUCGAUAUCGCAUGAUGUUGAUUUGAAAGGUGCAAUUGCAUCACUAAGAGAUGGACCUGCGUUGUAUUAGCUAGUUGGUGAGGUAACGGCUCACCAAGGCGACGAUACAUAGCCGACCUGAGAGGGUGAUCGGCCACACUGGGACUGAGACACGGCCCAGACUCCUACGGGAGGCAGCAGUAGGGAAUCUUCGGCAAUGGGGGCAACCCUGACCGAGCAACGCCGCGUGAGUGAAGAAGGUUUUCGGAUCGUAAAGCUCUGUUGUAAGAGAAGAACGAGUGUGAGAGUGGAAAGUUCACACUGUGACGGAACUACCAGA
This 475-nucleotide ribosomal RNA is filed under the name Streptococcus parasanguinis. RNAcentral's name for it is "bacterial SSU rRNA". It matches the Rfam family "Bacterial small subunit ribosomal RNA", at positions 28 to 487 of the family's 1533-position model. The record is from RNAcentral. Lineage: Bacteria; Bacillati; Bacillota; Bacilli; Lactobacillales; Streptococcaceae.